ACGGGUGAGUAAUGUCUGGGAAACUGCCUGAUGGAGGGGGAUAACUACUGGAAACGGUAGCUAAUACCGCAUAACGUCGCAAGACCAAAGAGGGGGACCUUCGGGCCUCUUGCCAUCAGAUGUGCCCAGAUGGGAUUAGCUAGUAGGUGGGGUAAUGGCUCACCUAGGCGACGAUCCCUAGCUGGUCUGAGAGGAUGACCAGCCACACUGGAACUGAGACACGGUCCAGACUCCUACGGGAGGCAGCAGUGGGGAUUAUUGCACAAUGGGCGCAAGCCUGAUGCAGCCAUGCCGCGUGUAUGAAGAAGGCCUUCGGGUUGUAAAGUACUUUCAGCGAGGAGGAAGGUGUUGAGGUUAAUAACCUCAGCAAUUGACGUUACUCGCAGAAGAAGCACCGGCUAACUCCGUGCCAGCAGCCGCGGUAAUACGGAGGGUGCAAGCGUUAAUCGGAAUUACUGGGCGUAAAGCGCACGCAGGCGGUCUGUCAAGUCGGAUGUGAAAUCCCCGGGCUCAACCUGGGAACUGCAUUCGAAACUGGCAGGCUAGAGUCUUGUAGAGGGGGGUAGAAUUCCAGGUGU
RNAcentral lists this ribosomal RNA (578 nucleotides) under uncultured bacterium. RNAcentral's name for it is "bacterial SSU rRNA". It matches the Rfam family "Bacterial small subunit ribosomal RNA", at positions 102 to 676 of the family's 1533-position model. The record is from RNAcentral.